AGCUUGCUCUUGGGUGACGAGUGGCGGACGGGUGAGUAAUGUCUGGGGAUCUGCCCGAUAGAGGGGGAUAACCACUGGAAACGGUGGCUAAUACCGCAUAACGUCGCAAGACCAAAGAGGGGGACCUUCGGGCCUCUCACUAUCGGAUGAACCCAGAUGGGAUUAGCUAGUAGGCGGGGUAAUGGCCCACCUAGGCGACGAUCCCUAGCUGGUCUGAGAGGAUGACCAGCCACACUGGAACUGAGACACGGUCCAGACUCCUACGGGAGGCAGCAGUGGGGAAUAUUGCACAAUGGGCGCAAGCCUGAUGCAGCCAUGCCGCGUGUAUGAAGAAGGCCUUCGGGUUGUAAAGUACUUUCAGCGGGGAGGAAGGCGAUGUGGUUAAUAACCGCGUCGAUUGACGUUACCCGCAGAAGAAGCACCGGCUAACUCCGUGCCAGCAGCCGCGGUAAUACGGAGGGUGCAAGCGUUAAUCGGAAUUACUGGGCGUAAAGCGCACGCAGGCGGUCUGUUAAGUCAGAUGUGAAAUCCCCGGGCUUAACCUGGGAACUGCAUUUGAAACUGGCAGGCUUGAGUCUUGUAGAGGGGGGUAGAAUUCCAGGUGUAGCGGUGAAAUGCGUAGAGAUCUGGAGGAAUACCGGUGGCGAAGGCGGCCCCCUGGACAAAGACUGACGCUCAGGUGCGAAAGC
RNAcentral lists this ribosomal RNA (689 nucleotides) under uncultured bacterium. RNAcentral's name for it is "bacterial SSU rRNA". It matches the Rfam family "Bacterial small subunit ribosomal RNA", at positions 77 to 760 of the family's 1533-position model. The record is from RNAcentral.